GUGAAUUGCAGAAUCCCGUGAACCAUCGAGUCUUUGAACGCAAGUUGCGCCCGAAGCCAUUAGGUUGAGGGCACGCCUGCCUGGGCGUCACGC
This 93-nucleotide ribosomal RNA is filed under the name Codonanthopsis crassifolia. RNAcentral's name for it is "partial 5.8S ribosomal RNA". It matches the Rfam family "5.8S ribosomal RNA", at positions 67 to 154 of the family's 154-position model. Rfam says of the family: 5.8S ribosomal RNA (5.8S rRNA) is a component of the large subunit of the eukaryotic ribosome. It is transcribed by RNA polymerase I as part of the 45S precursor that also contains 18S and 28S rRNA. Functionally, it is thought that 5.8S rRNA may be involved in ribosome translocation. Lineage: Eukaryota; Viridiplantae; Streptophyta; Magnoliopsida; Lamiales; Gesneriaceae. The record is from RNAcentral.